Molecule: long non-coding RNA, 983 nt
Filed under: Anas zonorhyncha (Eastern spot-billed duck)
Lineage: Eukaryota; Metazoa; Chordata; Aves; Anseriformes; Anatidae
Description: lncRNA (ENSAZOG00000005270.1)
Source: RNAcentral
CCUGCCCCUCCUGCCCUGCCACCCUCAGUCCCCCUGUGCUUUCUUCCCGGCAGCCUCCACCCCCAAAGAGACAACGGUGCCUCACAUCGUGCCACCCGUGAGCACGGAGAAGACCACCCCGGCCACGUCUGCCAGCAGCACCUCCAGGACGUCCGUGCCCAGCGAGGCCAGCCCCGCCAGCAGCCCAGCAGUGCCAGUGGCCAGGACGUCGCCUGCCCCCAGCAGCCCUCUCAGCACCAGGCUGCCAUCUGCUGCCCCUUCCACAGCCUCCUCCCCGUUGCCCCCAACAAAGUCCAUGCCUACAGCCUUCAUUCCCACUUUGACCUCCUCUGAGAGUACCACUUAUUCUUCCCCCUCACCAAACACCACAGUUUCUUUUACUCCACGUGGUGAAACAUUUUCAGUAGCACUUCCAACUGCUGUCUCUUCCAAAUCCACCCCAGUUGUGAUCCCAAGAGUGUUACCUACAACAACUGUGUUUCCUCCCAGUUUUGUUACCACUGCUUCUACAGAGACCCCUUCUGUUGAACAGACUUCUAUCCGAACAACUACACUAACUACCAGGCGUACUACAUCAUCUCUUUCUGUUACAUCUGAACUUUCAACAUCCCUGUCUUCUGUUAGACCAGCUACAGUACCACAAGAGAAUUGCCUAAAAGUCGAAUAUGAAGAAAAAAUAACUUACAAAGGCUGUUCUGCUAACAUCACUUUGAGCCGAUGUGAAGGAUCAUGUCCAUCUUCAACAACGUAAGGAUACUUGAGAGCUUCUGUAUCAUAAAUACAGUGAAGUUCUUUCUUAUCUAUGAAUACUGAUCUUUGUCAACUGCCUCUCCUUUAUAAUUCAGUGAGAAAAAGCUUUGUGGUAUUUAUCUAGCAACAGUGUGGCACUAUAGGCCAGGUAGCUAGAGCUAGCACUAAUACAGGUCAAAUAGUCUGUAGAGAUCUACAGUUUAAACAGGGAAUGUCUCCUCACUUAAGUUUUG